CCUACGGGUGGCAGCAGUGAGGAAUAUUGGUCAAUGGGCGCGAGCCUGACCCAGCCACGUAGCGUGAAGGAUGACUGCCCUCCGGGUUGUAACCUUCUUUUAUAAAGGAAUAAAGUGAGGCACGUGUGCCUUUUUGUAUGUACUUUAUGACUUAGGAUCGGCUAACUCCGUGCCAGCAGCCGCGGUAAUACGGAGGAUCCGAGCGUUAUCCGGAUUUAUUGGGUGUAAAGGGAGCGUAGAUGGGUUGUUAAGUCAGUUGUGAAAGUUUGCGGCUCAACCGUAAAAUUGCAAUUGAUACUGGCAGUCUUGAGUACAGUUGAGGUAGGCGGAAUUCGUGGUGUAGCGGUGAAAUGCUUAGAUAUCACGAAGAACUCCGAUUGCGAAGGCAGCUUACUAAACUGCCACUGACAUUGAUGCGCGAAAGUGUGGGGAGCAAACAGGAUUAGAUACCCGUGUAGUC
This 460-nucleotide ribosomal RNA is filed under the name uncultured bacterium. RNAcentral's name for it is "partial 16S ribosomal RNA". It matches the Rfam family "Bacterial small subunit ribosomal RNA", at positions 338 to 795 of the family's 1533-position model. The record is from RNAcentral.